CUUUCUACAGGCUUAACACAUGCAAGUCGAGGGGCAGCAUGGUCUUAGCUUGCUAAGGCCGAUGGCGACCGGCGCACGGGUGAGUAACACGUAUCCAACCUGCCGUCUACUCUUGGACAGCCUUCUGAAAGGAAGAUUAAUACAAGAUGGCAUCAUGAGUCCGCAUGUUCACAUGAUUAAAGGUAUUCCGGUAGACGAUGGGGAUGCGUUCCAUUAGAUAGUAGGCGGGGUAACGGCCCACCUAGUCUUCGAUGGAUAGGGGUUCUGAGAGGAAGGUCCCCCACAUUGGAACUGAGACACGGUCCAAACUCCUACGGGAGGCAGCAGUGAGGAAUAUUGGUCAAUGGGCGAGAGCCUGAACCAGCCAAGUAGCGUGAAGGAUGACUGCCCUAUGGGUUGUAAACUUCUUUUAUAAAGGAAUAAAGUCGGGUAUGGAUACCCGUUUGCAUGUACUUUAUGAAUAAGGAUCGGCUAACUCCGUGCCAGCAGCCGCGGUAAUACGGAGGAUCCGAGCGUUAUCCGGAUUUAUUGGGUUUAAAGGGAGCGUAGAUGGAUGUUUAAGUCAGUUGUGAAAGUUUGCGGCUCAACCGUAAAAUUGCAGUUGAUACUGGAUAUCUUGAGUGCAGUUGAGGCAGGCGGAAUUCGUGGUGUAGCGGUGAAAUGCUUAGAUAUCACGAAGAACUCCGAUUGCGAAGGCAGCCUGCUAAGCUGCAACUGACAUUGAGGCUCGAAAGUGUGGGUAUCAAACAGGAUUAGAUACCCUGGUAGUCCACACGGUAAACGAUGAAUACUCGCUGUUUGCGAUAUACUGCAAGCGGCCAAGCGAAAGCGUUAAGUAUUCCACCUGGGGAGUACGCCGGCAACGGUGAAACUCAAAGGAAUUGACGGGGGCCCGCACAAGCGGAGGAACAUGUGGUUUAAUUCGAUGAUACGCGAGGAACCUUACCCGGGCUUAAAUUGCAGAUGAAUUACGGUGAAAGCCGUAAGCCGCAAGGCAUCUGUGAAGGUGCUGCAUGGUUGUCGUCAGCUCGUGCCGUGAGGUGUCGGCUUAAGUGCCAUAACGAGCGCAACCCUUGUUGUCAGUUACUAACAGGUUCCGCUGAGGACUCUGACAAGACUGCCAUCGUAAGAUGUGAGGAAGGUGGGGAUGACGUCAAAUCAGCACGGCCCUUACGUCCGGGGCUACACACGUGUUACAAUGGGGGGUACAGAGGGCCGCUACCACGCGAGUGGAUGCCAAUCCCCAAAACCUCUCUCAGUUCGGACUGGAGUCUGCAACCCGACUCCACGAAGCUGGAUUCGCUAGUAAUCGCGCAUCAGCCACGGCGCGGUGAAUACGUUCCCGGGCCUUGUACACACCGCCCGUCAAGCCAUGGGAGCCGGGGGUACCUGAAGUGCGUAACCGCGAGGAGCGCCCUAGGGUAAAACUGGUGACUGG
This 1438-nucleotide ribosomal RNA is filed under the name uncultured organism. RNAcentral describes it as "SSU rRNA". It matches the Rfam family "Bacterial small subunit ribosomal RNA". The record is from RNAcentral.